AGCACAGGUUUACCUGUGUGACUGCGUACCUUUUGUAUAAUGGGUCAGCGACUUAUAUUCUGUAGCAAGGUUAACCGUAUAGGGGAGCCGUAGGGAAACCGAGUCUUAACCGGGCGUUAAGUUGCAGGGUAUAGACCCGAAACCCGGUGAUCUAGCCAUGGGCAGGUUGAAGGUUGGGUAACACUAACUGGAGGACCGAACCGACUAAUGUUGAAAAAUUAGCGGAUGACCUGUGGCUGGGGGUGAAAGGCCAAUCAAACCGGGAGAUAGCUGGUUCUCCCCGAAAGCUAUUUAGGUAGCGCCUCGUGAAUUCAUCUCCGGGGGUAGAGCACUGUUUCGGCUAGGGGGCCAUCCCGGCUUACCAACCCGAUGCAAACUGCGAAUACCGGAGAAUGUUAUCACGGGAGACACACGGCGGGUGCUAACGUCCGUCGUGAAGAGGGAAACAACCCAGACCGCCAGCUAAGGUCCCAAAGUCAUGGUUAAGUGGGAAACGAUGUGGGAAGGCCCAGACAGCCAGGAUGUUGGCUUAGAAGCAGCCAUCAUUUAAAGAAAGCGUAAUAGCUCACUGGUCGAGUCGGCCUGCGCGGAAGAUGUAACGGGGCUAAACCAUGCACCGAAGCUGCGGCAGCGAACGUAUCACUUAAAGCGAUUCAGCGGGUUACGAUUGACGGAGCGAAGCGACGUCAAAGCGUAUACAAAGUCGAGUCGGUUUAAGGAUACGUU
This 726-nucleotide ribosomal RNA is filed under the name Salmonella enterica subsp. enterica serovar Anatum. RNAcentral describes it as "partial 23S ribosomal RNA". It matches the Rfam family "Bacterial large subunit ribosomal RNA", at positions 578 to 1298 of the family's 2925-position model. The record is from RNAcentral. Lineage: Bacteria; Pseudomonadati; Pseudomonadota; Gammaproteobacteria; Enterobacterales; Enterobacteriaceae.